GCGUAAGCGCGCGUAGGCGGCUAAUUAAGUCAAAUGUGAAAUCCCCGAGCUUAACUUGGGAAUUGCAUUCGAUACUGGUUAGCUAGAGUGUGGGAGAGGAUGGUAGAAUUCCAGGUGUAGCGGUGAAAUGCGUAGAGAUCUGGAGGAAUACCGAUGGCGAAGGCAGCCAUCUGGCCUAACACUGACGCUGAGGUGCGAAAGCAUGGGGAGCAAACAGGAUUAGAUACCCUGGUAGUCCAUGCCGUAAACGAUGUCUACUAGCCGUUGGGGCCUUUGAGGCUUUAGUGGCGCAGCUAACGCGAUAAGUAGACCGCCUGGGGAGUACGGUCGCAAGACUAAAACUCAAAUGAAUUGACGGGGGCCCGCACAAGCGGUGGAGCAUGUGGUUUAAUUCGAUGCAACGCGAAGAACCUUACCUGGCCUUGACAUAGUAAGAACUUUCCACAUAUGGAUUGGUGCCUUCGGAAACUUACAUACAGGUGCUGCAUGGCUG
Molecule: ribosomal RNA, 493 nt
Filed under: Acinetobacter calcoaceticus
Lineage: Bacteria; Pseudomonadati; Pseudomonadota; Gammaproteobacteria; Moraxellales; Moraxellaceae
Description: bacterial SSU rRNA
Rfam family: Bacterial small subunit ribosomal RNA
Source: RNAcentral